This 463-nucleotide ribosomal RNA is filed under the name uncultured bacterium. RNAcentral describes it as "bacterial SSU rRNA". It matches the Rfam family "Bacterial small subunit ribosomal RNA", at positions 28 to 507 of the family's 1533-position model. The record is from RNAcentral.
GAUGAACGCUGGCGGCGUGCUUAAUACAUGCAAGUCGAACGGAGACUGUAGCAAUACUGUCUUAGUGGCGAACGGGUGAGUAACGCGUUGGUGACCUGCCCCGAAGAGGGGGAUAACAGUCCGAAAGGAUUGCUAAUACCCCAUGUGGUCGUUUGGAUUAGAUGCCUUACGACUAAACGGAUUUAUUCGCUUCGGGAGGGGCCUGCGUCCCAUCAGCUAGUUGGUAGGGUAAUAGCCUACCAAGGCGAUGACGGGUAGGGGACCUGAGAGGGUGGCCCCCCACAAUGGAACUGAAACACGGUCCAUACACCUACGGGUGGCAGCAGUAGGGAAUAUUGCACAAUGGGCGAAAGCCUGAUGCAGCAACGCCGCGUGAGCGAUGAAGGCCUUCGGGUCGUAAAGCUCUGUCCUCAACGGAAGAUAAUGACGGUACUUGAGGAAGGAAGCCCCGGCUAACUACGUG